RNAcentral lists this ribosomal RNA (379 nucleotides) under uncultured eukaryote. Its description in RNAcentral is "partial 18S ribosomal RNA". It matches the Rfam family "Eukaryotic small subunit ribosomal RNA", at positions 592 to 976 of the family's 1831-position model. The record is from RNAcentral.
CAAUAGCGUAUAUUUAAGUUGUUGCAGUUAAAAAGCUCGUAGUUGGAUUUCGGAUGGGACUUGCCGGUCCGUCGUUUCGAUGUGCACUGGCCAGUCCUAUCUUGUUGUCGGGGACUAGCUCCUGGGCUUCACUGUCCGGGACUAGGAGCUGACGAGGUUACUUUGAGUAAAUUAGAGUGUUCAAAGCAAGCCUACGCUCUGAAUACAUUAGCAUGGAAUAACACGAUAGGACUCUGGCUUAUCUUGUUGGUCUGUGAGACCAGAGUAAUGAUUAAGAGGGACAGUCGGGGGCAUUCGUAUUUCAUUGUCAGAGGUGAAAUUCUUGGAUUUACGGAAGACGAACAUCUGCGAAAGCAUUUGCCAAGGAUGUUUNCAUUGA